Long non-coding RNA from Aricia agestis (brown argus), 106 nucleotides. RefSeq lists it as uncharacterized. The transcript has 3 exons. NCBI's taxonomy places the organism in Eukaryota, Metazoa, Arthropoda, Insecta, Lepidoptera, Lycaenidae. The record is from RefSeq and is a predicted model, not a curated record.
UUAAAUUUCCGUCGACGAUAACUUUUUAACGUGCACGUUAGAGGACAUCACGACGUCUACACUCAACUGAACCGCACAGAACGUCCACGGUGCGUAAAAUAAAAAU